AUCCAGCUGACGAGUCCAAAAUAGGACGGAACGCGCAUCAAACUGGAU
Non-coding RNA from Schistosoma mattheei, 48 nucleotides. The record is from Rfam. NCBI's taxonomy places the organism in Eukaryota, Metazoa, Platyhelminthes, Trematoda, Strigeidida, Schistosomatidae.